GACGAACGCUGGCGGCGUGCCUAAUACAUGCAAGUAGAACGCUGAGGACUGGUGCUUGCACUGGUCUAAGGAGUUGCGAACGGGUGAGUAACGCGUAGGUAACCUACCUCAUAGCGGGGGAUAACAGUUGGAAACGGCUGCUAAUACCGCAUAAGCGCACAGUACCGCAUGGUACGGUGUGAAAAACUCCGGUGGUAUGAGAUGGACCCGCGUCUGAUUAGCUAGUUGGUGGGGUAACGGCCUACCAAGGCGACGAUCAGUAGCCGACCUGAGAGGGUGACCGGCCACAUUGGGACUGAGACACGGCCCAA
RNAcentral lists this ribosomal RNA (311 nucleotides) under uncultured bacterium. RNAcentral describes it as "bacterial SSU rRNA". It matches the Rfam family "Bacterial small subunit ribosomal RNA", at positions 28 to 334 of the family's 1533-position model. The record is from RNAcentral.